Molecule: non-coding RNA, 69 nt
Organism: Phrynosoma platyrhinos (Desert horned lizard)
Lineage: Eukaryota; Metazoa; Chordata; Lepidosauria; Squamata; Phrynosomatidae
Source: the annotation of a GenBank genome assembly
GUCGUGGCGUAGUGGUUUGAGCGUUGGACUACGACUCUGGAGGCCAGGGUUCGAGUCCCAGCUCGGCCA